CCUGGUGUUGCAAGUGGGUUAAUGCGCUCAGCUGCUAACUGAAAGGUUGGUGGUCUGAAUCCACCCAGCAGUG
RNAcentral lists this transfer RNA (73 nucleotides) under Loxodonta africana (African savanna elephant). It matches the Rfam family "tRNA". Rfam says of the family: Transfer RNA (tRNA) molecules are approximately 80 nucleotides in length. Their secondary structure includes four short double-helical elements and three loops (D, anti-codon, and T loops). Further hydrogen bonds mediate the characteristic L-shaped molecular structure. tRNAs have two regions of fundamental functional importance: the anti-codon, which is responsible for specific mRNA codon recognition, and the 3' end, to which the tRNAs corresponding amino acid is attached (by aminoacyl-tRNA synthetases). tRNAs cope with the degeneracy of the genetic code in two manners: having more than one tRNA (with a specific anti-codon) for a particular amino acid; and 'wobble' base-pairing, i.e. permitting non-standard base-pairing at the 3rd anti-codon position. The record is from Rfam by way of RNAcentral. Lineage: Eukaryota; Metazoa; Chordata; Mammalia; Proboscidea; Elephantidae.